Non-coding RNA from Musa acuminata subsp. malaccensis (wild Malaysian banana), 346 nucleotides. The record is from RefSeq and is a predicted model, not a curated record. NCBI's taxonomy places the organism in Eukaryota, Viridiplantae, Streptophyta, Magnoliopsida, Zingiberales, Musaceae.
UCCAUAUUCCUCUCCUGUCAAGUAAUAAUAAGAUGCUAAAUGCUAGCCAUAUGAGUCUCGACCAGAUCAAAUAAGAAGCACAUGCUAGAUCUGGAAAUAGCGAUGCUCCACUCUCCUUUGGAUCAAACUAAAAUUAAGCUGAACAUGGAAUGUCCAGAACUCCGCUUAAGAAAUUAAGCUGAUAUCUUGCAUUUCUAGUGAAAUUUUAUUGGGAAGGGAUCUAAAGAAGAGCUUUCCUUCUAGUCAUUACUGAUAGCUUGCGUAUUUUCUCAGUUUCCUGGCUCAAAAGCUUGAAGACAGAAAAUUUCAGGUUGCAGUUUCUGUGUUGUUUAAAGCUUAAAGGUAG